Molecule: ribosomal RNA, 661 nt
Filed under: Enterobacter hormaechei
Lineage: Bacteria; Pseudomonadati; Pseudomonadota; Gammaproteobacteria; Enterobacterales; Enterobacteriaceae
Description: partial 23S ribosomal RNA
Rfam family: Bacterial large subunit ribosomal RNA
Source: RNAcentral
UCAUCUUCGGGGGUAGAGCACUGUUUCGGCUAGGGGGCCAUCCCGGCUUACCAACCCGAUGCAAACUACGAAUACCGAAGAAUGUUAUCACGGGAGACACACGGCGGGUGCUAACGUCCGUCGUGAAGAGGGAAACAACCCAGACCGCCAGCUAAGGUCCCAAAGUCAUGGUUAAGUGGGAAACGAUGUGGGAAGGCACAGACAGCCAGGAUGUUGGCUUAGAAGCAGCCAUCAUUUAAAGAAAGCGUAAUAGCUCACUGGUCGAGUCGGCCUGCGCGGAAGAUGUAACGGGGCUAAACCAUGCACCGAAGCUGCGGCAGCGACACUUAUGUGUUGUUGGGUAGGGGAGCGUUCUGUAAGCCGUUGAAGGUGUGCUGUGAGGCAUGCUGGAGGUAUCAGAAGUGCGAAUGCUGACAUAAGUAACGAUAAAGCGGGUGAAAAGCCCGCUCGCCGGAAGACCAAGGGUUCCUGUCCAACGUUAAUCGGGGCAGGGUGAGUCGACCCCUAAGGCGAGGCCGAAAGGCGUAGUCGAUGGGAAACAGGUUAAUAUUCCUGUACUUGGUGUUACUGCGAAGGGGGGACGGAGAAGGCUAUGUCAGCCGGGCGACGGUUGUCCCGGUUUAAGCAUGUAGGCGGAGGUUCCAGGUAAAUCCGGUACCUU